UACGAAGGGGGCUAGCGUUGUUCGGAAUCACUGGGCGUAAAGGGCGCGUAGGCGGCUUUAUAAGUCGGGGGUGAAAGCCUGUGGCUCAACCACAGAAUUGCCUUCGAUACUGUAGAGCUUGAGACCGGAAGAGGUUAGUGGAACUGCGAGUGUAGAGGUGAAAUUCGUAGAUAUUCGCAAGAACACCAGUGGCGAAGGCGGCUGACUGGUCCGGAUCUGACGCUGAGGCGCGAAAGCUAGGGGAGCAAACGGG
RNAcentral lists this ribosomal RNA (253 nucleotides) under uncultured bacterium. RNAcentral's name for it is "partial 16S ribosomal RNA". It matches the Rfam family "Bacterial small subunit ribosomal RNA", at positions 524 to 776 of the family's 1533-position model. The record is from RNAcentral.